GCGUGCGGGAAGAAGGCCUUCGGGUUGUAAACCGCUUUUGUUAGGAACGAAAAGGUAUCUGUGAACAACAGGUAUUGCUGACGGUACCUAAAGAAUAAGCACCGGCUAACUACGUGCCAGCAGCCGCGGUAAUACGUAGGGUGCGAGCGUUAAUCGGAAUUACUGGGCGUAAAGCGUGCGCAGGCGGUUGGGUAAGACAGGUGUGAAAUCCCCGAGCUUAACUUGGGAACUGCACUUGUGACUGCUCAACUAGAGUAUGUCAGAGGGAGGUGGAAUUCCAAGUGUAGCAGUGAAAUGCGU
RNAcentral lists this ribosomal RNA (300 nucleotides) under uncultured bacterium. Its description in RNAcentral is "bacterial SSU rRNA". It matches the Rfam family "Bacterial small subunit ribosomal RNA", at positions 399 to 691 of the family's 1533-position model. The record is from RNAcentral.